UAGGGAAUCUUCCGCAAUGGACGCAAGUCUGACGGAGCAACGCCGCGUGAGUGAAGAAGGAUUUCGGUUCGUAAAACUCUGUUGUUAGAGAAGAACAGCGCAUAGAGUAACUGUUAUGCGUGUGACGGUAUCUAACCAGAAAGCCACGGCUAACUACGUGCCAGCAGCCGCGGUAAUACGUAGGUGGCAAGCGUUGUCCGGAUUUAUUGGGCGUAAAGCGAGCGCAGGCGGUCAAUUAAGUCUGAUGUGAAAGCCCCCGGCUCAACCGGGGAGGGUCAUUGGAAACUGGUUGACUUGAGUGCAGAAGAGGAGAGUGGAAUUCCAUGUGUAGCGGUGAAAUGCGUAGAUAUACGGAGGAACACCAGUGGCGAAGGCGACUCUCUGGUCUGUAACUGACGCUGAGGCUCGAAAGCGUGGGUAGCAAACAGG
RNAcentral lists this ribosomal RNA (429 nucleotides) under Bacteroidota bacterium. Its description in RNAcentral is "Bacteroidetes bacterium partial 16S ribosomal RNA". It matches the Rfam family "Bacterial small subunit ribosomal RNA", at positions 355 to 776 of the family's 1533-position model. The record is from RNAcentral. Lineage: Bacteria; Pseudomonadati; Bacteroidota.